UACGUAGGGACCAAGCGUUGUUCGGAUUUACUGGGCGUAAAGGGCGCGUAGGCGGCAAUUCAAGUCAUCUGUGAAAUCUCCGGGCUUAACCCGGAACGGUCAGAUGAUACUGCUUUGCUAGAGUGCGGAAGGGGCAAUCGGAAUUCUUGGUGUAGCGGCGAAAUGCGUAGAUAUCAAGAGGAACACCUGAGGUGAAGACGGGUUGCUGGGCCGACACUGACGCUGAUAGCGCGAAAGCCAGGGGAGCAAACGGG
Molecule: ribosomal RNA, 254 nt
Filed under: uncultured bacterium
Lineage: Bacteria
Description: partial 16S ribosomal RNA
Rfam family: Bacterial small subunit ribosomal RNA
Source: RNAcentral